CUAACUCAUACUCAGACUCAAUCACUCGCUUUCAGUCUCUCUCAACCUCAUCUCACCUCAGUGACCUCACCGGCUCACCCUACUCCUCAUCCUCGACCUCACCCAGUCACCCUCACUCAGUCACUCUUUCAACCUCACCUCACUCUUUCGACCUCACCUCACCUUGUUGGAAAAUCACUUGUUUUGGAAUUGCCCCGAUGCGAGUUCGUAUUGUUGGAAGUUUUGAGACUCUUGUCCCACAUUGGUGAAAACAAGAUUCCCAAGUACCUUUAUAUAUGUUUUGUCUUCUACAAUAUUAGUUAUGUGUUGGACCACUUGGAAUGGGAAUUGAGGCUUGGGCAACCAUUUAUGUGGAUUGGGCUUGAUGAUUAUACCAUAAUAUUAAUAUAAAUUAAUAUUAAUUAAUCAAGACAAGGGCCUUGGGCCUUGGGGCCUAAGAAUUAAAAUUAAUCUGAUCAAUUAGUUUUAAUUUCGAAUUAAGUUUUUAAUUAAAUUAAUUAAAAACGUUUUGAUUAAAGAUACAACCUUUUGUAGAGAGUUGUAAAGCUUCAGAUACAUCCAAAAGGUAUUUGAAGAGGUAUGAAAGAGCCUAUAUAACUUGAGUCCUCAGUUCAUCAUCAAUCAUCUUUUCUACUUCCUUUUAUUCCGUACAAACUUUCCAGAGAGAGUAAACACACAAAGCAAUUCGCUAGAAUUCUAUAAUCCAAUGCGGGUUGUAGGAUUAGGUAGUUGUAUCCUGAUCGAGCAGACGUUAUAGAACCACAAGCACAAUAGUGGGACGGAAUUACUGUUCGAAGGACAUAGCUUUUACGCUAGCCUCUACCUUCUGUAAUCAAGUUAGUACUAUUGAUAUUCUUAUAUUAAUUUAUGUAUUUAUUGUAUACUUUUCAUUAUGUACAGCAAGUACUUUUUGCGAAAUAAAAUUGUGAAUUUCAAAUUCUGUUUAUUUUUGUUAUAUUGUUUAUUUCUGAAUUGUUCUCUAACACGUACAUCACUAUAUUGUAUAACCCUCGAUUCCUAUUUCAGUUUCUCUUCUUUGAGGCCCUUUUUGGCUUUUCAAAUUUUUACAAUUUUUUAUAUGUCAAUUAAUUUUUUUUCCAGGUUUCCAGAGGCUGCCGUGCUGAAAUUCGC
This 1131-nucleotide long non-coding RNA is filed under the name Malus domestica (apple). RNAcentral's name for it is "long non-coding RNA (MDOM_LNC006319)". The record is from RNAcentral. Lineage: Eukaryota; Viridiplantae; Streptophyta; Magnoliopsida; Rosales; Rosaceae.